CUUGGGCGGCCUACCAUGCAGUCGAGCGGUAGCACGGGGAGCUUGCUCCUGGGUGACGAGCGGCGGACGGGUGAGUAAUGUCUGGGGAUCUGCCUGAUGGAGGGGGAUAACUACUGGAAACGGUAGCUAAUACCGCAUAACGUCGCAAGACCAAAGAGGGGGACCUUCGGGCCUCUUGCCAUCAGAUGAACCCAGAUGGGAUUAGCUAGUAGGUGGGGUAAUGGCUCACCUAGGCGACGAUCCCUAGCUGGUCUGAGAGGAUGACCAGCCACACUGGAACUGAGACACGGUCCAGACUCCUACGGGAGGCAGCAGUGGGGAAUAUUGCACAAUGGGCGCAAGCCUGAUGCAGCCAUGCCGCGUGUAUGAAGAAGGCCUUCGGGUUGUAAAGUACUUUCAGCGAGGAGGAAGGCAUUAAGGUUAAUAACCUUGGUGAUUGACGUUACUCGCAGAAGAAGCACCGGCUAACUCCGUGCCAGCAGCCGCGGUAAUACGGAGGGUGCAAGCGUUAAUCGGAAUUACUGGGCGUAAAGCGCACGCAGGCGGUUUGUUAAGUCGGAUGUGAAAUCCCCGGGCUCAACCUGGGAACUGCAUUCGAAACUGGCAAGCUUGAGUCUUGUAGAGGGGGGUAGAAUUCCAGGUGUAGCGGUGAAAUGCGUAGAGAUCUGGAGGAAUACCGGUGGCGAAGGCGGCCCCCUGGACAAAGACUGACGCUCAGGUGCGAAAGCGUGGGGAGCAAACAGGAUUAGAUACCCUGGUAGUCCACGCCGUAAACGAUGUCGACUUGGAGGUUGUGCCCUUGAGGCGUGGCUUCCGGAGCUAACGCGUUAAGUCGACCGCCUGGGGAGUACGGCCGCAAGGUUAAAACUCAAAUGAAUUGACGGGGGCCCGCACAAGCGGUGGAGCAUGUGGUUUAAUUCGAUGCAACGCGAAGAACCUUACCUACUCUUGACAUCCAGAGAACUUUCCAGAGAUGGAUUGGUGCCUUCGGGAACUCUGAGACAGUGCUGCAUGGCUGUCGUCAGCUCGUGUUGUGAAAUGUUGGGUUAAGUU
RNAcentral lists this ribosomal RNA (1053 nucleotides) under Cedecea neteri. Its description in RNAcentral is "bacterial SSU rRNA". It matches the Rfam family "Bacterial small subunit ribosomal RNA", at positions 36 to 1086 of the family's 1533-position model. The record is from RNAcentral. Lineage: Bacteria; Pseudomonadati; Pseudomonadota; Gammaproteobacteria; Enterobacterales; Enterobacteriaceae.